Molecule: ribosomal RNA, 72 nt
Filed under: Paenibacillus polymyxa
Lineage: Bacteria; Bacillati; Bacillota; Bacilli; Caryophanales; Paenibacillaceae
Also listed under: 6 other names
Description: partial 16S ribosomal RNA
Rfam family: Bacterial small subunit ribosomal RNA
Source: RNAcentral
GUGGGGUAGAUGAUUGGGGUGAAGUCGUAACAAGGUAGCCGUAUCGGAAGGUGCGGCUGGAUCACCUCCUUU